RNAcentral lists this long non-coding RNA (1158 nucleotides) under Homo sapiens (human). Its description in RNAcentral is "HSALNT0084819". Lineage: Eukaryota; Metazoa; Chordata; Mammalia; Primates; Hominidae. The record is from RNAcentral.
AUGGAGGUGGUUUCCCCCAUGCUCUUCUUGUGAUAGUGAGUGAGUUCUAAUGAGAUCUGAUGGUUUUAUAAGGGGCUUUUCCCCCUUCAGUGGGCACUUUUUCUUCCUGCUGCCUUGUGAAGAAGGUUCCUUGCUUCCUUCCUGAGGCCUCCCCAGUCAUGCUGAACUGAUAAAUGUUCUCAUCAGCUGCUCUACCUGAGGCAGGAACACACUCACCAGAUCGCCCUCGGAGGAGGGACUUGCCCUCAUUUGAGGGAGCCCCAUCAGCAGACAGCCCCCAGCUGCAAGCUUUCUCUGCCUCCACCUCAGCUACCAGAGCCACCUGACCCUGGGUCGCAAACCACACCCAGCUACUGAGCAAGGCAGGAGCAAGAAGAUGCCACCAUUUUGGCCCAGGGAAGACAACUCUAGCCAGAUUUCUUGGGCCUACAGCAUCAUUUCACAGCUUCCUCUGCUCAGAUCUCACCCUUCCAUUCACGGCUGCAGAUUUCUGAUAAAAUCUUGCACCUCGAACUCCAUGUUAACCGCUGCUUCUGGAGAAUCCAACCUGUGACUCUAACUCAGAGUCUGCUGCCACAGGCUCCAGGUGCUUAGCCCUGCAGGUGAGCCUCGUCAACAUACAUAUGAAUACACCCUCAGUUCACAGCUUCACGCCUCACUAUGUAACUGAAGUUUAAGAGUAAACACACACAGCAGUGUACCAGUGUAAUUGUUGUUCUCUGGCUAACUGUGUGUGUAAACAAGACCUGACGGAGAUGAGCAAGUGGCAGCUCAUAGUCUGCCCCUUGGUCCUUGAUAUGCAAGAAUCUAAUUUAAACCCAGAGAGGAGUCUCUCCAGCUCUUCUCUGUAGAAGUGAUGGGGCAGCUGGGCAUUCUCAUAGCUCCCCUGUGCCCCAUAAUCUUAGGUAUGAGUGUAACAUUGAACCCACAAUGUCCUGGUCAAUAAUCAAAGAAUAGAAAAAUAGAACAAUAGAAAAGUCAAUUGAAAGAGGAAGAUGAUUGAAUUUAGCAAAGUAUUGCUUUCAGUCAUUCCUGAUUUACAGUUUAACCCCCAGGCUCAGAGUCUCAGGCCGGCGUAGGAAUGUAGCACAAAUCCUCUGAGCUCUGGGCUGGUUUGGGAGCAAGCUGUCUGGGUUUCAGUCAGUGCAUACACAAAAC